AACCCUCACCUCCCACUCUCUUUCAACUCUUUUGUUGAGAGCGUAGUGAGCGAUGUUCCCGCCCUCGUCGCGAGCAUCCGGAUUCAAAAGGUGGAGCUGGCUUUUGCUUUUCGCAAGAUAAAGCAUCAGCUGAAGCGUCGAGCGCUCGAAGCAAGAACGUUUUCUGCCUGCCUUCAAACAGCAGGGAGAAAGCGAUGACUGGACAGGUUUCCUAGAACACGAAAGUCGUCGACCAUGUGUUCCUGCACGUAGGGCCCA
RNAcentral lists this unclassified non-coding RNA (258 nucleotides) under Mychonastes sp. LBMa-1. RNAcentral's name for it is "partial ITS2". The record is from RNAcentral. Lineage: Eukaryota; Viridiplantae; Chlorophyta; Chlorophyceae; Sphaeropleales; Mychonastaceae.